This 478-nucleotide ribosomal RNA is filed under the name uncultured bacterium. RNAcentral's name for it is "partial 16S ribosomal RNA". It matches the Rfam family "Bacterial small subunit ribosomal RNA", at positions 28 to 507 of the family's 1533-position model. The record is from RNAcentral.
GAUUAACGCUGGCGGCGUGCAUAACACAUGCAAGUCGAACGAUGAAACUCAUUAGAUUUCUUCGGAAUGAAAAUGAAUGGAUUAGUGGCGAACGGGUGAGUAACGCGUGAGUAACCUGCCUUACACAAGGGGAUAGCCUCUGGAAACGGAGAAUAAUACCCUAUGAAACCAGACAAUCGCAUGAUAAUCUGGUUAAAAUGUUUAGUGGUGUAAGAUGGACUUGCGUCUGAUUAGCUAGUUGGUGAGAUAAAAGCUCACCAAGGCAACGAUCAGUAGCCGGCUUGAGAGAGUGUACGGCCACAUUGGGACUGAGACACGGCCCAGACUCCUACGGGAGGCAGCAGUGGGGAAUUUUGCACAAUGGGGGAAACCCUGAUGCAGCGACGCCGCGUGAUUUAGAAGGCCUUCGGGUUGUAAAAAUCUUUUGUAUAGGAAGAAAAUGACAGUACUAUACGAAUAAGGUCCGGCUAAUUACGUG